AUUGAACGCUGGCGGCAGGCCUAACACAUGCAAGUCGAACGAGUGGCGGACGGGUGAGUAAUGUCUGGGAAACUGACUGAUGGAGGGGGAUAACUACUGGAAACGGUAGCUAAUACCGCAUACCAUCGGAUGUGCCGAGAUGGGAUUAGCUUGUUGGUGGGGUAACGGCUCACCAAGGCCACGAUCCCUAGCUGGUCUGAGAGGACGACCAGCCACACUGGAACUGAGACACGGUCCAGACUCCAACGGUAGGCAGCAGUGGGGAAUAUUGCACGAUGGGCUCAAGCCUGAUGCAGCCAUGCCGCGUGUAUGAAGAAGGCCUUCGGGUUGUAAAGUACUUUCAGCGGGGAGGCGUUACCCGCAGAAAAAGCACCGGCUAACUCCGUGCCAGCCGCCGCGGUAAUAC
This 406-nucleotide ribosomal RNA is filed under the name uncultured bacterium. RNAcentral's name for it is "partial 16S ribosomal RNA". It matches the Rfam family "Bacterial small subunit ribosomal RNA", at positions 30 to 526 of the family's 1533-position model. The record is from RNAcentral.